Molecule: transfer RNA, 68 nt
Filed under: Marmota monax (woodchuck)
Lineage: Eukaryota; Metazoa; Chordata; Mammalia; Rodentia; Sciuridae
Description: tRNA.Ser
Source: RNAcentral
GGAUUGUGGCUCAGUGGUAGAAUACUCACCUACUACAUUUGAGGCCCUGGGUUUGAUUCCCAGCACCA